This 253-nucleotide ribosomal RNA is filed under the name uncultured bacterium. Its description in RNAcentral is "partial 16S ribosomal RNA". It matches the Rfam family "Bacterial small subunit ribosomal RNA", at positions 524 to 776 of the family's 1533-position model. The record is from RNAcentral.
UACAGAGGGUGCGAGCGUUGUCCGGAAUCACUGGGCGUAAAGGGCGCGUAGGUGGCUUGAUAAGUAGGGGGUGAAAUCUCGCGGCUCAACUGCGAGGCUGCCUCCUAAACUGUCGGGCUUGAGCAGAGUAGAGGCAGGUGGAAUUCCCGGUGUAGCGGUGGAAUGCGUAGAUAUCGGGAGGAACACCAGUGGCGAAGGCGACUACCUGGCCUGUUCUUGACGCUGAGGCGCGAAAGCUAGGGGAGCAAACGGG